CAAGUAGGCCAGGCGAUCGCGGGCUGGCAGGGCCAGCCCGAGGAAAGUCCGAGCUCCACAGAGCACGGUGCUGGGUAACGCCCAGGCGGGGUGACCCGACGGAAAGUGCCACAGAAAAGAGACCGCCGGGGGCGCAGAGCGCCCUCGGUAAGGGUGAAAGGGUGGUGUAAGAGACCACCGGCAGCCGUGGUGACACGGCUGGCCAGGCAAACCCCACCGGGAGCAAGGCCAAGCAGGAGGCUCAGCGCCCGGCGCGCUGACAGGGCUGCUCGUCCUGCGUCCUCCGGGUAGGCCGCUAGAGGCGAUGGGCAACCAUCGCCCCAGAGAGAUGAUCGCCACCCCUCGCCCCGGGUGAGGGGGACAGAACUCGGCUUAUCGGCCUACUUGGGCC
This 391-nucleotide RNase P RNA is filed under the name Anaerolineae bacterium. Its description in RNAcentral is "RNase P RNA component class A". It matches the Rfam family "Bacterial RNase P class A". Rfam says of the family: Ribonuclease P (RNase P) is a ubiquitous endoribonuclease, found in archaea, bacteria and eukarya as well as chloroplasts and mitochondria. Its best characterised activity is the generation of mature 5'-ends of tRNAs by cleaving the 5'-leader elements of precursor-tRNAs. The record is from RNAcentral. Lineage: Bacteria; Bacillati; Chloroflexota; Anaerolineae.